ACCCGGGCACGACCCGGGGCCCGCCGGCGUCCCCGGCCCGCCCCCGGGACCGACCCGUGGUCCAAUCCUGAGGGA
This is a regulatory RNA element of Corynebacterium sphenisci DSM 44792, 75 nucleotides long. It matches the Rfam family "L31-Corynebacteriaceae ribosomal protein leader". Lineage: Bacteria; Bacillati; Actinomycetota; Actinomycetes; Mycobacteriales; Corynebacteriaceae. The record is from Rfam.